Molecule: ribosomal RNA, 490 nt
Filed under: uncultured bacterium
Lineage: Bacteria
Description: bacterial SSU rRNA
Rfam family: Bacterial small subunit ribosomal RNA
Source: RNAcentral
UGGGGAAUCUUGCACAAUGGAGGAAACUCUGAUGCAGCGACGCCGCGUGAGCGAUGAAGCCCUUCGGGGUGUAAAGCUCUUUCGACGGGAACGAUAAUGACGGUACCCGGAGAAGAAGCUGCGGCUAACUACGUGCCAGCAGCCGCGGUAAUACGUAGGCAGCGAGCGUUGUUCGGAAUUACUGGGCGUAAAGAGUGUGUAGGUGGUGCUCUAAGUUUGGUGUGAAAUCUCCCGGCUUAACUGGGAGGGUGCAUCGAAAACUGGAGUGCUUGAGUAUGGGAGAGGCAAGCGGAAUUCCUGGUGUAGCGGUGAAAUGCGUAGAUAUCAGGAGGAACACCUGUGGUGUAGACAGCUUGCUGGACCAUUACUGACACUGAGACACGAAAGCGUGGGUAGCAAACAGGAUUAGAUACCCUGGUAGUCCACGCCCUAAACGAUGCAUACUUGGUGUGAGCCAUUCAUUUGGCUCGUGCCGGAGCUAACGCGUUAA